GCGUUAAUCGGAUUUACUGGGCGUAAAGCGUGCGUAGGUGGUUACGAAAGUCGGGUGUGAAAGCCCUGGGCUCAACCUGGGAAUGCCAUUCGAUACUUCGUGACUAGAGUUCGGUAGAGGGCGGCGGAACUCCAGGUGUAGCGGUGAAAUGCGUAGAUAUCUGGAAGAACACCGAUGGCGAAGGCAACCGCCUGGGCCUGAACUGACACUGAGGCACGAAAGCGUGGGGAGCAAACAGGAUUAGAUACCCUGGUAGUCCACGCCGUAAACGAUGAGAACUUGACGUCGGUUUGCCUAGCGAAUCGGUGUCGAAGCUAACGCGCUAAGUUCUCCGCCUGGGGAGUACGGCCGCAAGGUUGAAACUCAAAGGA
Molecule: ribosomal RNA, 371 nt
Filed under: uncultured Lysobacteraceae bacterium
Lineage: Bacteria; Pseudomonadati; Pseudomonadota; Gammaproteobacteria; Lysobacterales; Lysobacteraceae
Description: bacterial SSU rRNA
Rfam family: Bacterial small subunit ribosomal RNA
Source: RNAcentral